UGAAAAUAAGAGUCCUGAGCAAGUCAGAGAUUGCCAGACAGUUAUCACUUAAAAUAGCAAAGCCUCACUGUUCUAUUGCUAACCCAUGGCAGAGUGAGUCUAAGUGUAGGCACAGGAAGGUAUGAAGUGAGUUUGAUCAAAUGGGAUUUUGAAUGAUUAACAAGCGGAUCCUGGAUCAUAGUCAGUUGUGUCACAUGGUAAAGGGGAGCUCUGGAUGUAGAACGGCUCCCAGCUGCCAGCCUGAACUGCCUUCCAAACAGCCAAGCCUAAUUCAGCACAAUGGAUAAAGGUACUGUGGACCAUAAAGAAGAGCUGGAGAACUAGGAUUCCACUCUCAGGGAGCUUGCAAGUGGCCAAGCUGCUCAAGGGUCACCUCUUUGGAAACAAUUAGCCAAGGACGUGGAGCGAAACAAAAUAAACUUAAGCUUGACACACUGCUGGCCUGGGACAGUUGCCAUAAACUCAAAUACAAAGACACUGCACAGCCUGUGUUUAACAAAUUCAUUCUCUUCUCCCCCAAAGAAAAGAGCUAAAGAACAAGGUCAUAUUGAACGCCCUGGGGAGUCACUCAGGUGACAGCUGUGAGUGCUGCUGAGAGAUGGUGACAAAACGGGAAGUCAGGAAGUCAUCGUUGCACCAUUCAGAAAACCAUGACUCAAGUGUGAUGUAGAUCAAAGCCACUGGGUGUUAGGAAGUGAAGGGGCAUCUUGUUAAUGCAGCCAAUAGUCUAACCCAGUGGUUCUCAACCUUCCUAAUGCUUCGACCCUUUAGCACAGUUCCUCAUGUUGUGGUGACUGAAAUGUUCAGGCAUUAUGCUGGCCUGCCCCUGUUACCUGGCAGAACAGGCAGUACCCUGGCCAGCCCAGGGCUCCAUGGGAACUAAGUCUGCACGCAGGUGCAGAGCACCCCCUUAAAAGACAGACUCCUGCCCAUUUAUGCUCUCUCUAUACUCUUCUCUCUCUACUCUCUCCUUCUCUGCUCUUCUCUCUGCUCUCUCUAUUCUGUUUCUACUCUCUCUACUCUUCUCUAUCUGCUUCUGCUUCUGCUUCUCUUCUCUCUCUUUCUAUGGCGACUGGCCAUGGCGGUCAGCCAUUAACCCUUCUCUUCUCCUUUAGUCUCUCUACUCUGCCGGGCCUAUAAUAAACUGGUUAAUAUGUCUAAUAGUCUCAUGUCUCAUCUUGAACUCUUCUUCCUCCUCUUCUUCAUUUCUAAUUUAAGCAAAAGAAUAACAGUGACCCCUCAACCAUACAAUGAUUUUCAUUGCUACUUCAUAACUAUAACUUUGCUACUGUUAUGAAUUGUAAUGUAAAUACCUGAUAUGUGGCCACUGUAAAGGGGUCAUUCGAACCCCAAAGAGGUCUCCGCCCACAGGCUGAGAAUCCCUGGUCCAAGCUAUGCAUGUGAGAUACUUGGGAAGGAAAAGCCACAAGGUCUGGUGAGGUUCCUUCUGCUUUUUCAAGACUGUUCAGAUCACAAUUUCUCUUCAGAGGGGCAAAGAAUUUACAUCUUCAACAACUCACUACAAAUCCAAGCUAUUCAACAAGGCACCCACAUGACUUCCUUCCUCUAAAGAGAUCAAAGAUGAGCAGGCUCAGUUCUUUUUUUUUUUUUUUUAACUUUUUAAAUCAAACAAUUCUACAAGGAAACAAUAAAAUGGCUUCUCCAGGAUUGGGAUAUGAGGGCUUGCAGAGUGAGGAAGUGAGUGUUUUCCUUCUACUCUGUGGGUCCCCAGGAUAGGAUACUGCUGGAUAGCCUUGGCACCAAGGGCCUUUACCUGCUGGAGUAGUUCAAAACAAAACAAACAAACAAAACAAAAAACAAAAAAACAAAAAAAAAAACAAAUCUCUUUUUC
Molecule: long non-coding RNA, 1852 nt
Filed under: Cricetulus griseus (Chinese hamster)
Lineage: Eukaryota; Metazoa; Chordata; Mammalia; Rodentia; Cricetidae
Description: lncRNA (ENSCGRG00015036571.1)
Source: RNAcentral